GGCUCUUUGAUUAAGUGAGAUAAGGAGUCGGACCUGCCCAGUGAAAAUUUUUAACGGCCGCGGUACUCUGACCGUGCAAAGGUAGCAUAAUCAUUUGCCUUAUAAUUGAAGGCUUGUAUGAAUGGUUUGACAAGAAUAUUGCUGUCUCUAUGUGAUUUUAUAGAAUUUUAUUUUGAAGUGAAGAAGCUUGAAUUAUAUUAAUAGACAAGAAGACCCUAUCGAGCUUUAAAGAAAUCUAUGGAAGAUAUAAAUAGUUUUAAAAUAUUAGCUAUGGUAAAUUUUAGUUGGGGCGACUUAGGAACAAUAAAAGCUUCUUAGAUUUAAUAGUAUUCAAUUGAUCCAAAAUAUUUUGAUUAAAGGAAUUAGUUACCGUAGGGAUAACAGCAUAAUCUUCUUUAAGAGUUCUAAUCGAAAAGAGGGUUUGUGACCUCGAUGUUGGACCAGAAUGUCCUGAAGAUGUAGCAGUCUUUAAGGGUUGGUCUGUUCGACCAUUAAAAUUCUACG
This 504-nucleotide ribosomal RNA is filed under the name Mitrella sp. EES-2022. RNAcentral's name for it is "partial large subunit ribosomal RNA". It matches the Rfam family "Bacterial large subunit ribosomal RNA", at positions 1817 to 2600 of the family's 2925-position model. Lineage: Eukaryota; Metazoa; Mollusca; Gastropoda; Neogastropoda; Columbellidae. The record is from RNAcentral.